RNAcentral lists this ribosomal RNA (442 nucleotides) under uncultured bacterium. Its description in RNAcentral is "partial 16S ribosomal RNA". It matches the Rfam family "Bacterial small subunit ribosomal RNA", at positions 338 to 795 of the family's 1533-position model. The record is from RNAcentral.
CCUACGGGAGGCAGCAGUGGGGAAUAUUGGGCAAUGGACGCAAGUCUGACCCAGCAACGCCGCGUGAAGGAAGAAGGCUUUCGGGUUGUAAACUUCUUUUAAGGGGGAAGAGCAGAAGACGGUACCCCUUGAAUAAGCCACGGCUAACUACGUGCCAGCAGCUGCGGUAAUACGCAGGUGGCAAGCGUUGUCCGGAUUUACUGGGUGUAAAGGGCGUGCAGCCGGGGAGACAAGUCAGAUGUUAAAUCCACGGGCUCAACCCUUGAACUGCAUUUGAAACUGUUUCCCUUGAGUGUCGGAGAGGUAAUCGGAAUUCGUUGUGUAGCGGUGAAAUGCGUAGAUAUAAGGAAGAACACCAGUGGCGAAGGCAGAUUACUGGACGGUAACUGACGGUGAGGCGCGAAAGCGUGGGGAGCAAACAGGAUUAGAUACCCGAGUAGUC